AACGAACGCUGGCGGCAGGCCUAACACAUGCAAGUCGAGCGAGGACUUCGGUUCUAGCGGCGGACGGGUGAGUAACGCGUGGGAAUGUGCCCUUCUCUAUGGAAUAGCCCUGGGAAACUGGGAGUAAUACCGUAUACGCCCUUUUGGGGAAAGAUUUAUCGGAGAAGGAUCAGCCCGCGUUGGAUUAGGUAGUUGGUGGGGUAAUGGCCUACCAAGCCGACGAUCCAUAGCUGGUUUGAGAGGAUGAUCAGCCACACUGGGACUGAGACACGGCCCAGACUCCUACGGGAGGCAGCAGUGGGGAAUCUUAGACAAUGGGGGCAACCCUGAUCUAGCCAUGCCGCGUGAGUGAUGAAGGCCUUAGGGUUGUAAAGCUCUUUCAGCUGGGAAGAUAAUGACGGUACCAGCAGAAGAAGCCCCGGCUAACUCCGUG
Molecule: ribosomal RNA, 433 nt
Filed under: uncultured bacterium
Lineage: Bacteria
Description: partial 16S ribosomal RNA
Rfam family: Bacterial small subunit ribosomal RNA
Source: RNAcentral